Molecule: ribosomal RNA, 394 nt
Filed under: uncultured bacterium
Lineage: Bacteria
Description: partial 16S ribosomal RNA
Rfam family: Bacterial small subunit ribosomal RNA
Source: RNAcentral
AUACGUAGGGGGCGAGCGUUGUCCGGAAUUACUGGGCGUAAAGGGCGCGCAGGCGGAUAUUUAAGUCAGCUGUAAAAGGCAUGAGCUCAACUCAUGUAUGCGGUUGAAACUGGGUAUCUAGAGUGCUGGAGAGGUAGGCGGAAUUCCCGGUGUAGCGGUAAAAUGCGUAGAUAUCAGGAAGAAUACCAGUGGCGAAGGCGGUUUGCUGGCUGCAUACUGACGCUGAAGCGCGAAAGCCAGGGGAGCAAACGGGAUUAGAUACCCCGGUAGUCCUGGCAGUAAACGAUGUAUGCUGGGUGUGGGAGUAGCGAUACCUCCGUGCCGAAGUUAACGCGAUAAGCAUACCGCCUGGGGAGUACGGUCGCAAGAUUGAAACUUAAAGGAAUUGGCGGGG